Molecule: transfer RNA, 67 nt
Filed under: Pythium arrhenomanes ATCC 12531
Lineage: Eukaryota; Oomycota; Peronosporomycetes; Pythiales; Pythiaceae
Description: tRNA-Ile for anticodon GAU
Rfam family: tRNA (bases 4-59)
About the family: Transfer RNA (tRNA) molecules are approximately 80 nucleotides in length. Their secondary structure includes four short double-helical elements and three loops (D, anti-codon, and T loops). Further hydrogen bonds mediate the characteristic L-shaped molecular structure. tRNAs have two regions of fundamental functional importance: the anti-codon, which is responsible for specific mRNA codon recognition, and the 3' end, to which the tRNAs corresponding amino acid is attached (by aminoacyl-tRNA synthetases). tRNAs cope with the degeneracy of the genetic code in two manners: having more than one tRNA (with a specific anti-codon) for a particular amino acid; and 'wobble' base-pairing, i.e. permitting non-standard base-pairing at the 3rd anti-codon position.
Source: RNAcentral
CCCAGCUCAGACGGUAGAGCUCUCGGCUGAUAACCGAGUGGUCCCGGAUCGAAUCCGGGAACUGUGU